This is a long non-coding RNA of Phyllopteryx taeniolatus (common seadragon), 3248 nucleotides long. RefSeq lists it as uncharacterized. NCBI's taxonomy places the organism in Eukaryota, Metazoa, Chordata, Actinopteri, Syngnathiformes, Syngnathidae. The transcript has 5 exons. The record is from RefSeq and is a predicted model, not a curated record.
UUUUUCAGAUUUUUUUGGACUACGUACGCAUCUACUUUCAUUUUUGCUAGUUUGGUUGGUUACAUUUCGCCCAUUGUAAGAAUGAUUGACUGACUUCCAUUUGCUAUGUGAGGGUUAAGGUUCAACCAAUGGGUUAGGGUGAGCCCAGCGUUGGCCUAACCCUCACCCGUUGUUCGAACUACUAUCUAUCAUGUUUCAUUGUGCUGCCAAUGUUGUCUAACUAACUAACUAACUCCCAGCAAUGUAUUGUUCUUAGUCUGAGUUUAGAAAUGUCCCAGCUUCCUGGAAUGCAUCCUGUCCGACGGGAUAUUGUCUCGGUGUCCAGUUUGUGCACUCCAAUUUCUAUUUGCUGGAGUGACACUCGCACACACAGAGAACUAUGUUGAAUCUGCCUACAGUUGGCUGCACAAAUGCCCUCCGGGCUGUGACCAGAAGAGGAGAAGCUGGACAAGGUGACUUCAACCCCAGGCCCCCCCUGACCGUCCAGAAAAUAGCUCCUCGUGCUGGAGGAAUUCAACUGCGAGCUAAUUUCAGCGCAUCGAUUUCACACCGAGAAGGCGUGACGACGACACGCGGUGACGAGAGCGGAGGCUCGUGUUUACCCGGAGACCGAAGGUCAAUGAGCGUCGCGGUGAUUGAAGUCCGCCUUGUGCCGGAUGCAGACAAAGCAGCCUGGUAACAUCCAGAUUCUUCUCGGAGGGACAUCCGGCCCGACCAGUGACCCCGGCACAGAUGGAAAGACGACUCUGAAUUACAUCAGAGCGUCAGCAGUUUUCCUAUUAAAAUCAUCCAACUUUGACAAUACCAUAGACAAAAAAGGCUUCCCAAUUGAGCAUGAACUGUUUUCGACUGUCUAUGACACCUAAAGAAAACCCGCAUUUUCGCCACGCUUGCAAAAGUUGGCAACCGGUCCGGGACCCACCGGGACCCACCCCUCCUCAACCGAGACCGACGCCAACUCCGGCAGUUUGGAAGGCUUUUUUCUUCUUCCUGUUUUUUUUUUCAGGUCACAAAACGGCGGCAACGGGAGUUUGGAACGAGAACAGCUGCGAGGAAGCCGAGACUUCUCAACAAAGAGACGCGUGCGGCGGGGGGAGCGAGGUGGCGUGGCGGGGGAGUUGCGCCGUUUAAUGCAGAGAAGAUUGAAGAUGACUGGCAGCCGGCGGCCCAACACCUGCUGCCGCCGCCGUCGGAAUGCUGACUGACAGGCAGAGGGGAGAUGAGGAGAAGCUCCUGCGUAAGAGGGACGCAACUCUCUCAACUUGACUCGACAUCGAACGGAACAACUGUAGCCGAACUGCUCCGCUGGCGCAGUCUAUUUUCCAGCUGUGCGAGCAAAAUGACUUCCACCAAGGAAACAUCUGUGCUUCUUCCAUACUACGCCACACACCCUCCUUCUCCUCGAAAACGCAUUUUGGGAAAUGGGAGAUCCAUCCAGAUGGUGCGCCAGGAUCAAUUUCUGGGUCACAAACAGGAGGACACUGGAGACGCGGAGCUUCUUCUUUGCUCUUAAUUCUUCUCGGAGUAACUCUGCAUAUUUGUCAAAAUCUUGUUUUUGUUGGCUCGCGCUGCUAACUGAUGGCACUGCGAGCGAGACGAUACAAAAGCAAAUUGUCCCUGAGUGUGUUCCCUUGUUUGUUCCUUUUGGACUUUGAUAACCAUCUUCUCUAAAACAGCAUGACAUUUGGUAUAUGGCCAACAAUCACCGCAACGAUGAACCAAGACUUGUUAAAAAGAAAGAACGGUGUCUGGGUCUUUUGAGUCAAAACAUGAGGUCCACUUGCACAACCUAACGAUUCUCUACUUGACUUUUAGUCACUCGUCGUUCUCCCGCCGGCUCGUUCCGUGCGGCGUUUUACCGAGGCCGUCCUUAACGCCCGGAACGCGAGUCCUGCGAUGGGCACCCGCGGCCACGCGGGACGCCUCGAUGGCGAGAAAACCCUCUCGGCUGUGUGCUUUGCUGUUCUCUGGCGAGUCAAUUAAGCAGCAAAUGACCCCUGGAAUCCACUUUAAUAAGCCCAGCUCCACAGAAUUGACUUUAAUACAUCACGAUGAUGACAGUAAUUGGAUUGGACGCUUGAUUGCAUUUUUUUUCCAGCGCUGUAAAAUGCUACUAUGGGCAACAUAACAUAAAAAAGAAGUGCUGCUGGUAAGAGGAGAUAUAAAAAUCAUUAUUUCCCAUAAAAAGUGUCUCAGGUGGACUGUCACGGAGAGGCGACUGCUCCGAAACAUCGUUGUCAUCACAAAAAAAAAAAAGUCUCGUCGUCUUAAAGACAGAAUUGUUCUGAGCUUUGCUUGUGUUGUUUAGGAUGAGCAUGAAUUUCAUGAGAGAAUAAAAGUAGAAUGGAAGACAUUUGCUUGAAACAUGAACCCUAACUUGAAACCCAACCCUCGCUUAAACCCCUAACUUUUGUUUCAAAACCUACCACGUAGUUGCAUUCACUCCGUUUUACUCUAGCCGGCGUGGUUUCUCAUAUGCGCUGUGAUCGCCGUGGUAAAUAUUUCAUCGUUUGAAAAUGUUGCCGGCCGUCCACAGCAAUCACGGUCUAUCGUGUUUGCCCAUCUUAGCCAAACCUCCACGGUGGGCUUUCUUGGCCGACGGGAACUUAUCGGGCCUUGAGCCGGGGUUAGACCGAAAGCACGCCCGACUACCACCUCCCACCCACUGCUGCCUAUAAUUGCUUUUAAGCUUUGACAAUGAUAAAAACAACAACAACAACAAGAAAAAGCCGGCGGCUCUGCAGUCCUGUCAGCCAAUUUCGGGGUUGUUGGGAAGAUUCCCCGAGCGCCUAUUCCUGCUUUUCUGCUGCCGCAGGCUCCAAGUGGGCAUGUCAAUGCUGAUUUAAAUAAGUGUUAGUCAGCGCAAGCAGCGGCAGUGGAAAAUCAAAAUACACCACAGAAGGGGGGAGGGGGGGGGGGGGGGGCUUCAUCAUUAAGAUGCAAAAAGAAAAUUAGCCGUCCAUCACGCUGACUUACUCGGAUGUUUGACUGCUGGCCCCCGUCAUCUGUCCAGAUUCGAUGAUGCUUCUUUGAAGUAAACAAACACUGCUUUCCACUCCAACGGACGCUCGGCCUUCCCGUCUUGACAUUCUGUUGCUGAUAUCGCUGUUACCAUGACAAUCAGCCAUCUCGUUUCGAAGCGUUAGGAUGUGUCGACAGCCGUCUGUCGAUAAAGUGACGCAAUAUCGGCGACAUUUGCAGUUGGUGCAACUGUGUCAUGGAUAGCGGGAGAAAAAAUAAAUAAAACA